Molecule: transfer RNA, 68 nt
Filed under: Stimulopalpus japonicus
Lineage: Eukaryota; Metazoa; Arthropoda; Insecta; Psocodea; Amphientomidae
Description: tRNA-Pro
Source: RNAcentral
CAGAAGAUAAUUUAAUAAAAAAUAUUAAUUUUGGAGAUUAAUAAUAGUAUAGCGUUUACUUCUUCUGA